This 492-nucleotide ribosomal RNA is filed under the name uncultured bacterium. Its description in RNAcentral is "partial 16S ribosomal RNA". It matches the Rfam family "Bacterial small subunit ribosomal RNA", at positions 29 to 507 of the family's 1533-position model. The record is from RNAcentral.
AGUGAACGCUGGCGGUAGGCCUAACACAUGCAAGUCGAACGGCAGCACAGUAAGAGCUUGCUCUUACGGGUGGCGAGUGGCGGACGGGAGAGGAAUACAUCGGAAUCUACUUUUUCGUGGGGGAUAACGUAGGGAAACUUACGCUAAUACCGCAUACGACCUACGGGUGAAAGCAGGGGAUCUUCGGACCUUGCGCGAUUGAAUGAGCCGAUGUCGGAUUAGCUAGUUGGCGGGGUAAAGGCCCACCAAGGCGACGAUCCGUAGCUGGUCUGAGAGGAUGAUCAGCCACACUGGAACUGAGACGCGGUCCAGACUCCUACGGGAGGCAGCAGUGGGGGAUAUUGGACAAUGGGCGCAAGCCUGAUCCAGCCAUACCGCGUGGGUGAAGAAGGCCUUCGGGUUGUAAAGCCCUUUUGUUGGGAAAGAAAAGCAGCAGGUUAAUACCCCGCUGUUCUGACGGUACCCAAAGAAUAAGCACCGGCUAACUUCGUG